GAUGGCUGUGAUGCGAGCGGUUCGCUGCCCGUGACUCUGCGAGAAGUCCAUUGAACCUUAUCAUUUAGAGGAAGGAGAAGUCGUAACAAGGUUUCCGUAGGUGAACCUGCGGAAGGAUCAUUGUCGAGAUUGAAAUACAUCAAGCGAUUUAGAGAAUUUGUCAAAAUAGCGGUCGCUAUUAUAUCCGCUAUAAAAUCCAUCACAUUCGCCAUCUCAUCCAUUUGAGGCGAGGUUGUGAAUAGGGGUGGAUGAACACUCAAACCGGCGCAACAUCGCGCCAAGGGAUGUAACCAAAGCGAGACCUCAAAUGGGUUUCGUGACUUGGGGUGUUAUUAAACCCCAUAAAGAUUGACAUGACUCUCGGCAAUGGAUAUCUCGGCUCUCACAUCGAUGAAGAGCGCAGCGAAAUGCGAUACGUGGUGCGAAUUGCAGAAUCCCGUGAACCAUCGAGUCUUUGAACGCAAGUUGCGCCCGAGGCCAAACAGCCAAGGGCACGUUUGCCUGGGCGUCAAGCAUAAUGAAACUCUGAGUCAAUGCUAUCCCAUCUAUGGAUGUGCUGGUAAAGGCUUGGAUGUGCAGAGUGGCUCAUCGUUUCCUUGGAGCGGUGUGCUGAAGAGUUGGUCAUCAUCUCAUUGGCUGCGAAUAGUAAGGGGUGGUUAAAAACGAGUCCUGUGCUAUUGUCUUGUGUAUGCCUGAGAGAAGAUUAUACAUAUUCAAGUUAUCCAAAAUCAUGCAUCGAUUCAUCGAUGGCAUUUUGAAUGCGACCCCAGGAUGGGCGGGGCCACCCGCUGAGUUUAAGCAUAUCAAUAAGCGGAGGAGAAGAAACUUACGAGGAUGUUUAAGCAUAUCAAUAAGCGGAGGAGAAGAAACUUACGAGGAU
This 880-nucleotide ribosomal RNA is filed under the name Dendrobium masarangense subsp. theionanthum. Its description in RNAcentral is "eukaryotic LSU rRNA". The stretch from base 356 to 511 matches the Rfam family "5.8S ribosomal RNA". Lineage: Eukaryota; Viridiplantae; Streptophyta; Magnoliopsida; Asparagales; Orchidaceae. The record is from RNAcentral.